UUCUCCAACAACAUACAUUAGUUCCUCUAAUAUUAGUGAAAGUAAUUCAUCAUUUCAAAAUUAGGUAAAAUUUCCUAUGAAUGAAAUGUAUUGACCAUGUAUUC
Molecule: long non-coding RNA, 104 nt
Organism: Etheostoma spectabile (orangethroat darter)
Lineage: Eukaryota; Metazoa; Chordata; Actinopteri; Perciformes; Percidae
Exons: 3
Source: RefSeq, a predicted model, not a curated record